RNAcentral lists this microRNA (23 nucleotides) under Haliotis rufescens (red abalone). Its description in RNAcentral is "hru-miR-1985". The record is from miRBase by way of RNAcentral. RNAcentral also lists the same sequence under 5 other names. Lineage: Eukaryota; Metazoa; Mollusca; Gastropoda; Lepetellida; Haliotidae.
UGCCAUUUUUAUCAGUCACUGUG